AUUGAACGCUGGCGGCAUGCCUUACACAUGCAAGUCGAACAGCAGCGCGGACUUCGGUCUGGCGGCGAGUGGCGAACGGGUGAGUAAUACAUCGGAACGUACCCUGUUGUGGGGGAUAACUAGUCGAAAGAUUAGCUAAUACCGCAUACGACCUGAGGGUGAAAGUGGGGGACCGGAAACGGCCUCAUGCAGCAGGAGCGGCCGAUGUCUGAUUAGCUAGUUGGUGGGGUAAAGGCCCACCAAGGCGACGAUCAGUAGCUGGUCUGAGAGGACGAUCAGCCACACUGGGACUGAGACACGGCCCAGACUCCUACGGGAGGCAGCAGUGGGGAAUUUUGGACAAUGGGGGCAACCCUGAUCCAGCAAUGCCGCGUGUGUGAAGAAGGCCUUCGGGUUGUAAAGCACUUUUGUCCGGAAAGAAAUCGCGCUGGUUAAUACCUGGCGUGGAUGACGGUACCGGAAGAAUAAGCACCGGCUAACUACGUG
This 486-nucleotide ribosomal RNA is filed under the name uncultured bacterium. RNAcentral's name for it is "partial 16S ribosomal RNA". It matches the Rfam family "Bacterial small subunit ribosomal RNA", at positions 30 to 507 of the family's 1533-position model. The record is from RNAcentral.